Molecule: ribosomal RNA, 397 nt
Filed under: uncultured bacterium
Lineage: Bacteria
Description: partial 16S ribosomal RNA
Rfam family: Bacterial small subunit ribosomal RNA
Source: RNAcentral
AUACGUAGGUGACAAGCGUUAUCCGGAUUUACUGGGCGUAAAGGGCGUGUAGGCGGUCUUGCAAGUCAGAAGUGAAAUUCCUGAGCUCAACUCGGGCGCUGCUUCUGAAACUGCAGGACUUGAGUGCUGGAGGGGAUAGCGGAAUUCCUAGUGGAGCGGUAAAAUGCGCAGAUAUUAGGAAGAACACCGGUGGCGAAGGCGGCUAUCUGGACAGUAACUGACGCUGAGGCGCGAAAGCGUGGGGAGCAAACAGGAUUAGAUACCCUGGUAGUCCAUGCCGUAAACGAUGAAUACUAGGUGUAGGGGGUAUCGACUCCCUCUGUGCCGCAGUUAACACAAUAAGUAUUCCGCCUGGGGAGUACGGCCGCAAGGUUGAAACUCAAAUGAAUUGGCGGGG